AGUGAACGCUGGCGGUAUGCCUAACACAUGCAAGUCGAACGGCAGCACAGUAAGAGCUUGCCCUUACGGGUGGCGAGUGGCGGACGGGUGAGGAAUACAUCGGAAUCUACUUUUUCGUGGGGGAUAACGUAGGGAAACGUACGCUAAUACCGCAUACGACCUACGGGUGAAAGCAGGGGAUCUUCGGACCUUGCGCGAUUGAAUGAGCCGAUGUCGGAUUAGCUAGUUGGCGGGGUAAAGGCCCACCAAGGCGACGAUCCGUAGCUGGUCUGAGAGGAUGAUCAGCCACACUGGAACUGAGACACGGUCCAGACUCCUACGGGAGGCAGCAGUGGGGAAUAUUGGACAAUGGGCGCAAGCCUGAUACAGCCAUAUCGCGUGGGUGAAGAAGGACUUCGGGUUGUAAAGCCCUUUUGUUGGGAAAGAAAAGCAGCAGGUUAAUACCCCGCUGUUCUGACGGUACCCAAAGAAUAAGCACCGGCUAACUUCGUG
Molecule: ribosomal RNA, 492 nt
Filed under: uncultured bacterium
Lineage: Bacteria
Description: partial 16S ribosomal RNA
Rfam family: Bacterial small subunit ribosomal RNA
Source: RNAcentral